UAAGAAAUAAUAAAGGGCGUAUGGGGGAUGCCUUGGCUCUUAGAGGCGAAGAAAGACGUGAUAAACUGCGAUAAGUUGCGGGGAUUGGUUGUACGAUUUGAUCCGCAAAUUUCUGAAUGGGGCAACCCACCCUACCUAUGUAGGGUAUCUCUUUAUUUAAUAGAUAAGAGAAGCAAACCUGGAGAACUGAAACAUCUAAGUACCCAGAGGAAGAGAAAACAAAUAGUGAUUCCAUAAGUAGUGGUGAGCGAACGUGGAUUAGCCCAAACCAUAGCAGUUUCGGCUGUUAUGGGGUUGUAGGACUAGCAAUUUAAAUGCAUGGCAAGAACUUAAAUUAUUUUGGAAAAAUAAGCCAUAGAAGGUGAAAGCCCUGUCAAGGUAAUUGGUAUGCGUUUAGUUAGUAUCCUGAGUAGAUCAGUCCCGGUGAAAGGCUGAUUGAAUUUGCCGGCACCAUCCGGUAAGGCUAAAUACUCCUAAGAGACCGAUAGUGAACAAGUACCGUGAGGGAAAGGUGAAAAGUACCCUGAAUAAGGGAGUGAAAUAGUUCCUGAAACCAUACGCUUACAAGCAGUCGGAGUUUUUUUAAUAAGGUAUAAUAUAUACGCAAGUAUUAUUAUAACCUUGCGUUUUGUAUAAAAUGACGGCGUGCCUUUUGUAUAAUGAGCCUACGAGUUAAUCUUUUCUGGCAAGGUAAAUCCUUUUGAAAGGAAAAGCCGAAGCGAAAGCGAGUCUGAAUAGGGCGCUUUAGUCAGAGGAGUUAGACGCGAAAGCCGGUGAUCUACCCAUGGCCAGGUUGAAGCGUUGGUAAAACAACGUGGAGGACCGAACCAGUGGAUAUUGUAACGUCCUUGGAUGAGCUGUGGGUAGGAGUGAAAGGCUAAUCAAACCGGCAGAUAGCUCGUACUCUCCGAAAUGUUUUUAGGAACAGCCUUAAGUGUAUACUGAUAGGGGUAGAGCUACCGAUAGGACUAGGGGGGUAACCUACCGUGUCCAGACGAACUCCGAAUACUAUCAGUUUUGCUUAGGAGUGAGGGUUAGGGCGUUAAGGUCCUAAUCCGAGAGGGAAAGAACCCAGACCAUCAGCUAAGGUCCCCAAAUAUAUACUAAGUUGAACUAAGAAGGUUUAGUUGCUUAGACAGUCAGGAUGUUGGCUUGGAAGCAGCCAUUCAUUUGAAGAGUGCGUAACAGCUCACUGAUCGAGCGACAAAGCGUCGAUGAUGAACGGGCAUUAAGUAUAUUACCGAAGCUAUGGCCUUGCUGCUUUAGGCAGUAAGGGGUAGGAGAGCAUUCUAAUCAAGCUGAAGCUAAAUAGUGAUGUUUGGUGGAUUGAUUAGAAAAGAAAAUGUAGGCAUGAGUAACCAAAAUAAUGGUGAGAAACCAUUACACCGUAAGACUAAGGUUUCCAUGGCGAUGGUUGUCAUCCAUGGGUUAGUCGGGCCCUAAGCUGAAGCCGAACGGCGUAAGCGAUGGAAGAUCGGUUAAUAUUCCGAUACUAGCUAGCAAUAGAGAAGGGGGACGAAGGAGUGAAAGGUCUGCCUUCUGACGAAUUUAGAAGGUUAAAGCCCGUAGAUAUAGGUGUGGCAGGCAAAUCCACCAUACUUGUCGAAGGUGAUAGUACUACAAUCCCUCGGGGGCGUAGAUAAUGACCCUAAUCAUACUUCCAAGAAAAGCCUCUAAUCGUUAGGUGCUAGCUAACCGUACCGCAAACCAACACAGGUAGUUGAGGAGAAUAUCCUAAGGUGUUCGAGUGAUUCGUGGCCAAGGAACUCGGCAAAAUAGCCCUGUAACUUCGGGAGAAAGGGUGCCUCAUUGGUCCUCUUAGGAGGGUCAAUAGGCCGCAGUGAAAAGGCCCAGGCGACUGUUUACCAAAAACACAAGACUUUGCAAAAUCGAAAGAUGAAGUAUAAGGUCUGAUACCUGCCCGGUGCUGGAAGGUUAAUAGGAGGUGUUAAGUCGCAAGAUUGAAGCGCUGAAUAGAAGCCCCAGUAAACGGCGGCCGUAACCUUGACGGUCCUAAGGUAGCGAAAUUCCUUGUCGGGUAAGUUCCGACCUGCACGAAUGGUGUAACGAUCUGGGCGCUGUCUCAGCCACGAGCUCGGUGAAAUUGGAGUGGCGGUGAAGAUACCGUCUACCCGCAAUGGGACGAAAAGACCCCAUGAACCUUUACUAUAGCUUAACAUUGAUAAUAUGUAGAUGAUGUGUAGGAUAGGUGGGAGACUGCGUAAGCAGUCGCCGUUGAAAUACCACCCUUUAUGUAUGUGUUAUCUAAUCCUUUUGAAGAAGGAGACAGUGUUUGGUGGGUAGUUUGACUGGGACGGUCGCCUCCUAAAAAGUAACGGAGGCUUUCAAAGGUACCCUCAGUACGGAUGGUAAUCGUACGUAGAGUGCAAUAGCAUAAGGGUGCUUGACUGUGAGACAAACAAGUCGAGCAGAGUCGAAAGACGGAUAUAGUGAUCCGGUGGUUCCGAAUGGAAGGGCCAUCGCUAAAAGGAUAAAAGGUACUCUGGGAUAACAGGCUGAUCUCCCCCAAGAGCUCAUAUCGACGGGAGGUUUGGCACCUCGAUGUCGGCUCGUCACAACCUGGAGCUGAAGCACGUUCCAAGGGUUGGGCUGUUCGCCCAUUAAAGUGGCACGCGAGCUGGGUUCAGAACGUCGUGAGACAGUUCGGUUUCUAUCUAUUGCGGGCGUUAGAAGUUUGAGAGGGGCUGACCUUAGUACGAGAGGACCGGGUUGGGUAAACCUCUGGUGUAUCAGUUGUGACGUCAGUUGCACUGCUGAGUAGCUACGUUUAUAAGAGAUAAGUGCUGAAAGCAUCUAAGCACGAAACUCGCCUCAAGAUGAGACUUCAAUAAGGGUGGUUAAAGACGAUGACCUUGAUAGGUUGCAGGUGUAAAGUCAGAAAUGGCAAAGCUGAGCAAUACUAAUUACCCGAAUGUUUCUUGU
Molecule: ribosomal RNA, 2943 nt
Filed under: Cardinium endosymbiont of Dermatophagoides farinae
Lineage: Bacteria; Pseudomonadati; Bacteroidota; Cytophagia; Cytophagales; Amoebophilaceae
Description: 23S ribosomal RNA
Rfam family: Bacterial large subunit ribosomal RNA
Source: RNAcentral